AGUUCUGACAGGACUCUCUAGAAGGAUGUUUUAGCAGCUACACCUGCUAAAUUUUAAUGAGAAAAGAUCCCACUAUUUACAUAUUUCAAAAUUAAGUUAAAAAAAGUCUCAGAUAUUAUACCAUCAAGGUGCUAAUAGAUGAAAAAAUGCAUUCCACUAAUCUGAGGAUCAACCUGAAGAACAUUAGGAUUAUUCAGAUAACAGAUUAUCUACAUUGAAUUAUGGAUCUUAAUUUUAAUUUCUUAUCUGAAAAUGCUGGGCUGAGGAAUUAAAAAAAAUUUUUUU
This is a long non-coding RNA of Canis lupus familiaris (dog), 285 nucleotides long. RefSeq lists it as uncharacterized. The record is from RefSeq and is a predicted model, not a curated record. The transcript has 2 exons. NCBI's taxonomy places the organism in Eukaryota, Metazoa, Chordata, Mammalia, Carnivora, Canidae.